RNAcentral lists this ribosomal RNA (1106 nucleotides) under Haloterrigena sp. XJNU-19. RNAcentral describes it as "bacterial SSU rRNA". It matches the Rfam family "Archaeal small subunit ribosomal RNA", at positions 1 to 1118 of the family's 1478-position model. The record is from RNAcentral. Lineage: Archaea; Methanobacteriati; Methanobacteriota; Halobacteria; Halobacteriales; Natrialbaceae.
CGGCGGCAGAUUUGGUGCGCCGGGUCGAUUAGCCAUGCUAGUUGCACGAGUUCAGACUCGUAGCAGAUAGCUCAGUAACACGUGGCCAAACUACCCUAUGGAUCCGGAUACCCUCGGGAAACUGAGACUAAUCCGGAAUACCACUCGAUGCCUGGAACUGGCUCGAGUGCGAAACGCUCCGGCGCCAUAGGAUGUGGCUGCGGCCGAUUAGGUAGACGGUGGGGUAACGGCCCACCGUGCCGAUAAUCGGUACGGGUUGUGAGAGCAAGAGCCCGGAGACGGUAUCUGAGACAAGAUACCGGGCCCUACGGGGCGCAGCAGGCGCGAAACCUUUACACUGCACGACAGUGCGAUAAGGGGACUCCAAGUGCGAGGGCAUAUAGUCCUCGCUUUUCACGACCGUAAGGUGGUCGUAGAAUAAGUGCUGGGCAAGACCGGUGCCAGCCGCCGCGGUAAUACCGGCAGCACGAGUGAUGACCGCUAUUAUUGGGCCUAAAGCGUCCGUAGCUGGCCUCGCAAGUCCAUCGGGAAAUCUGUCCGCUUAACGGACAGGCGUCCGGUGGAAACUGCGUGGCUUGGGACCGGAAGAUCCAGAGGGUACGUCUGGGGUAGGAGUGAAAUCCCGUAAUCCUGGACGGACCGCCGGUGGCGAAAGCGCUCUGGAAAGACGGAUCCGACGGUGAGGGACGAAAGCUCGGGUCACGAACCGGAUUAGAUACCCGGGUAGUCCGAGCUGUAAACGAUGUCUGCUAGGUGUGACACAGGCUACGAGCCUGUGUUGUGCCGUAGGGAAGCCGUGAAGCAGACCGCCUGGAAAGUACGUCCGCAAGGAUGAAACUAAAGGAAUUGGCGGGGGAGCACUACAACCGGAGGAGCCUGCGGUUUAAUUGGACUCAACGCCGGACAUCUCACCAGCAUCGACAACGUGCCGUGAAGGUCAUGUGAGGAGCUUACUGGAGCCGUUGAGAGGAGGUGCAUGGCCGCCGGUCACCUCGUACCGUGAGGCGUCCCUGUAAAUCAUGCAACAGCCGAGACCCGCCCUCCUAAUUUGCCAGCAACCACCUUUGUGGUGGUUGGGUACAUUAGGAGGACUUGCCAGUCCCAAA